This 460-nucleotide ribosomal RNA is filed under the name uncultured bacterium. RNAcentral's name for it is "partial 16S ribosomal RNA". It matches the Rfam family "Bacterial small subunit ribosomal RNA", at positions 338 to 795 of the family's 1533-position model. The record is from RNAcentral.
CCUACGGGAGACAGCAGUGAGGAAUAUUGGUCAAUGGGCGAGAGCCUGAACCAGCCAAGUCGCGUGAAGGAUGAAGGAUCUAUGGUUUGUAAACUUCUUUUAUAUGGGAAUAAAGUGAGGAACGUGUUCCUUUUUGUAUGUACCAUAUGAAUAAGCAUCGGCUAACUCCGUGCCAGCAGCCGCGGUAAUACGGAGGAUGCGAGCGUUAUCCGGAUUUAUUGGGUUUAAAGGGUGCGUAGGUGGUUAAUUAAUUCAGCGGUGAAAGUUUGUGGCUCAACCAUAAAAUUGCCGUUGAAACUGGUUGACGUGAGGAUAUUUGAGGUAGGCGGAAUGCGUGGUGUAGCGGUGAAAUGCAUAGAUAUCACGCAGAACUCCGAUUGCGAAGGCAGCUUACUAAACUAUAACUGACACUGAAGCACGAAAGCGUGGGGAUCAAACAGGAUUAGAUACCCCUGUAGUC